GUGGCAAACUUCUACUCAUUCUCUUAAAAAUUGGACCUGCUGGCUUCAAGUCCACAAAAUGAAAGGCUCAGUUUAAAAAAAUAUUGGCUACUGAACAUAGCACAUGGAUCUUAGAAGCAUAACGCUGAGCGAAAGAAGCCAGAACCAGAGGACACAGUGGGACUGACUGCUGAUAGUUUUCAGUGAUUAACCAGCUGCGUUUGUUGUUGUCAUCAAAAUGGUCAUGGAAGAAACAUUCCAC
Molecule: long non-coding RNA, 241 nt
Organism: Rhinolophus ferrumequinum (greater horseshoe bat)
Lineage: Eukaryota; Metazoa; Chordata; Mammalia; Chiroptera; Rhinolophidae
Exons: 3
Source: RefSeq, a predicted model, not a curated record